GACGAACGCUGGCGGCGGGCUUAACACAUGCAAGUCGAACGGAAAGGCCCUGCUUUUGUGGUGUUCUCGAGUGGCGAACGGGUGAGGAACACGUGAGUAACCUGCCCUUGACUUUGGGAUAACUUCAGGAAACUGGGGCUAAGACCAGAUAGGAGCUCCUGCUGCAUGGUGGGGGUUGGAAAGUUUCGGCGGUUGGGGAUGGACGCGCGGCUUAUCAGCUUGUUGGUGGGGGAGUGGCUUACCAAGGCUUUGACGGGUAGGCGGCCUGGGAGGGUGACCGGCCACAUUGGGACUGCGAUACGGACCAGACUCGUAUGGGGGGCAGCAGUGGGGAAUAUUGCCCAAUGGGAGGAAGUGUGAUGCAGAAACGCCGCGUGCGGGAUGACGGCCUUCGGGUUGUAAAACGCUUUCGCCUGUGACGACGCGUGAGUGACGGUAAUCGGUAAAGAAGCACCGGCUAACUACGUG
RNAcentral lists this ribosomal RNA (468 nucleotides) under uncultured bacterium. RNAcentral's name for it is "partial 16S ribosomal RNA". It matches the Rfam family "Bacterial small subunit ribosomal RNA", at positions 28 to 507 of the family's 1533-position model. The record is from RNAcentral.